Molecule: long non-coding RNA, 356 nt
Filed under: Felis catus (domestic cat)
Lineage: Eukaryota; Metazoa; Chordata; Mammalia; Carnivora; Felidae
Description: lncRNA (ENSFCAG00000047444.1)
Source: RNAcentral
AACACUCACCAUACUAUAUCUCAUUUCUGCUCUGCGUAUUUUAGGAACAUGUAUUUCAAUAGACUACCAAAGGGAUGGAUACGCCCCCAACAAAAAAAUUUAAGAACAUAGUCGUAGAAUGUGACACAAAACAACAAAAUUUCAAGAUUAAGAUCUCCAUGGUUCUUAAGCAAGCCUAAAAAUCACCGGCGUAGCUGUAUUCAUCUCUAUUGUUGGGUUGAGUUGAAUUUGGUCUCCUACAAAACAAACCAGCAAAGCUACUGUCAGCCAGCCAUGCUCCACCAAGUGCCUCAAAUAAGGACAGAAAUACCCAGGUUCAUGGCUGAAUUCAGGAUCUCGUUUGCUUACCCAUGGGC